AAUGUGGGUGAUGAAAACACGUCCUUAGGUUGGUCUUUUUUGGCCGUUUUGGUCAAAGACUCUGAUCUUCCAAUGUUAGGAUUCGUCAUAGUUACACUGACACAUG
Molecule: small nucleolar RNA, 106 nt
Organism: Cyprinus carpio carpio
Lineage: Eukaryota; Metazoa; Chordata; Actinopteri; Cypriniformes; Cyprinidae
Source: Ensembl